Molecule: long non-coding RNA, 1021 nt
Filed under: Anas platyrhynchos platyrhynchos (common mallard)
Lineage: Eukaryota; Metazoa; Chordata; Aves; Anseriformes; Anatidae
Description: lncRNA (ENSAPLG00000020796.1)
Source: RNAcentral
GGGAGAUGCACCGUGCUCUUCUCUUAACGAUGCAAUAUUUUGCAUUCUUGUAACCAGCUUUUUCCCUUCCUUCCACUUCCUUCCUUCUUUCCUUCCUUCAUUCCUUCCUUCUUUUCCUUUUUCCUUCCUUCUUCCCUCCCUACUUUCUUGCUUUCCUUUUCCCCUCAGAUAUACCUCAAAAUAAUAUUUCUGUGCUUAUUUUGGACAAACUUCAUUUUGAAUAUUAAAUGGAUAGGCUGAAAAAAAAAAAAAGAAAAAAGAAAAAAAAAAAAAAAAAGAGCUGCACAUUUCAAACUGCUCUGAGAACACAGAGUUCAGCCCUCUGCUCCUGACAGGGAUGACAAAGAGGCUGCCCUGAGCAUCUCAUAUGUUUCCAUCUAAUAUGAGAUUUCACAAUCAGCAUCAAAGUGGGAAUUUUGCAAGGAAAGGUAUCCCAAUGCCCUUCACAAGCUAAGUCAAUUUUAAUUUUUUAAGCCCUUAUUAUUAUCAUGCAGCAAAAUGUGCGGUGCAUAAAUCUCAUCCAUUACCUACGGCUUUUGUUUCAUAAAUAAUCAAGUCAACUCGAUUCAUGGGCAGGCAAAAUAAGAUAAGAAAGUGAAUGUCCUUUGCAAAUGGCCACGGGUGCUAACACUUCGAGCUGGGCUGACCCCACUGCACAAGUGGAUCCACCUGGAUUUGCACCCUCUGAGGAUCUGCCCCAAAGUGCAACAGGCAUGAGAUAUCCCAGAGGGACCCUAUGGGGAUCCUCCUGGAGAUCCAAGCUUCUAGAUAACUGCACUGGCUUCUUGUUUUCCUGCAAAGAAGAUCCUGUUGGAUGAAGGAUGCCGUUCCAGUGAACUACAUCUGCCUUCUCAGUGUGAAAGAGUGAUGAGAAAAGACCACUAUAGGAAAGCGAUCUGGAUUUCCUGGAAAAGCCAGCCAUCAUUAAGCAAUGUAUUAAAGCAGUGACAUGCAGAGAGCUACAGGGAAAUCUACAGCUGCAGGUGACAGUCCCUCCUUCCUCACUCCAAGUACUCCCUUC